AUUGAACGCUGGCGGCAGGCCUAACACAUGCAAGUCGAGCGGAUGAAGGGAGCUUGCUCCUGGAUUCAGCGGCGGACGGGUGAGUAAUGCCUAGGAAUCUGCCUGGUAGUGGGGGAUAACGUCCGGAAACGGGCGCUAAUACCGCAUACGUCCUGAGGGAGAAAGUGGGGGAUCUUCGGACCUCACGCUAUCAGAUGAGCCUAGGUCGGAUUAGCUAGUUGGUGGGGUAAAGGCCUACCAAGGCGACGAUCCGUAACUGGUCUGAGAGGAUGAUCAGUCACACUGGAACUGAGACGCGGUCAAGACUCCUACGGGAGGCAGCAGUGGGGAAUAUUGGACAGUGGGCGAAAGCCUGAUCCAGCCAUGCCGCGUGUGUGAAGAAGGUCUUCGGAUUGUAAAGCACUUUAAGUUGGGAGGAAGGGCAGUAAGUUAAUACCUUGCUGUUUUGACGUUACCAACAGAAUAAGCACCGGCUAACUUCGUG
Molecule: ribosomal RNA, 484 nt
Filed under: uncultured bacterium
Lineage: Bacteria
Description: partial 16S ribosomal RNA
Rfam family: Bacterial small subunit ribosomal RNA
Source: RNAcentral